UACGAAGGGGGCUAGCGUUGCUCGGAAUCACUGGGCGUAAAGGGCGCGUAGGCGGCCCCCAGCAGUGGCGCGUGGAAUCCCCCGGCUCACCCGGGGGGGGCCGCGCCAGACGGGGGGGCUCGAGGAGGGACGAGGGCCACGGAACGGGCGGAGUAGGGGUGAAAUCCGUAGAGACCGUCCGGAACACCGAUGGCGAAGGCAGUGGCCUGGGCCCUUCCUGACGCUGAGGUGCGAAAGCGUGGGGAGCGAACAGG
RNAcentral lists this ribosomal RNA (254 nucleotides) under uncultured bacterium. RNAcentral's name for it is "partial 16S ribosomal RNA". It matches the Rfam family "Bacterial small subunit ribosomal RNA", at positions 524 to 776 of the family's 1533-position model. The record is from RNAcentral.